Long non-coding RNA from Actinia tenebrosa (Australian red waratah sea anemone), 719 nucleotides. RefSeq lists it as uncharacterized. NCBI's taxonomy places the organism in Eukaryota, Metazoa, Cnidaria, Anthozoa, Actiniaria, Actiniidae. The record is from RefSeq and is a predicted model, not a curated record.
CAUUUGUACAUGUAUACAGUGUUAAAAGAGGUGUAACUCAACUUUUCUACUGAAAUAACAGGAAUUCAAGUACAUUCUAUUUUUAUCUUGCCCCCAGGCAACAAAUAUGCUAAUGUUCGGUUGAAUCUUCGAGGGACGAACGCUGCACUUAUCGUUCGGAAAAUAAUCGGCGAUUCCUCGAACGAAGUCUUAUUGGCUGUUAAAAGAGACGUGACCGAUUAAAACAACAAACUCGAAAAUACAAUAACUUGACUGUCUGGCAACAUAUAAAAAUGAACUUCAAGUCAAUAAAUUUCACAUAAUACAAUUUUCUAUUUGAAGUGUUCUUGGAUGUAAAAGGUUCGCUUAUUUUCAAAGGAACGAGGACUGAACGCCACCAAAGUUGCAGAUAAAAGAUGUCACCCAACAGCAGCACAGACAAGUUGCACUGACUGCUUCCUUUUUCCAUAUGGUGUAUCUUUUAGGGAUAAAUACUGAACUAUCUUUCUAUCCUUAUAUUGUGAGUAACCUUAGCUUUUAAAAGCGACAGGUAAAGAGAAACAAACUUGACCUUUAAUUUAUAUAUAAAUAAUUAUUAUCAUGACCUAUUAAUAUACAAUUUAUAAUGCUUAAAAAAUAAGUGUGAACUGAAUGUCAGUUGAAUGCAUUUUUCUGUUAACUGAAUGUAUUUAUUCUAUUGUCUUUUUUGGCAAAAUAUUAAAAGACUUUUCAACGCUUCA